GUGGGUAACCUACCUAUAAGACUGGGAUAACUUCGGGAAACCGGAGCUAAUACCGGAUAACAUUUAGAACCGCAUGGUUCUAAAGUGAAAGAUGGUUUUGCUAUCACUUAUAGAUGGACCCGCGCCGUAUUAGCUAGUUGGUAAGGUAACGGCUUACCAAGGCGACGAUACGUAGCCGACCUGAGAGGGUGAUCGGCCACACUGGAACUGAGACACGGUCCAGACUCCUACGGGAGGCAGCAGUAGGGAAUCUUCCGCAAUGGGCGAAAGCCUGACGGAGCAACGCCGCGUGAGUGAUGAAGGGUUUCGGCUCGUAAAACUCUGUUAUUAGGGAAGAACAAAUGUGUAAGUAACUGUGCACAUCUUGACGGUACCUAAUCAGAAAGCCACGGCUAACUACGUGCCAGCAGCCGCGGUAAUACGUAGGUGGCAAGCGUUAUCCGGAAUUAUUGGGCGUAAAGCGCGCGUAGGCGGUUUCUUAAGUCUGAUGUGAAAGCCCACGGCUCAACCGUGGAGGGUCAUUGGAAACUGGGAAACUUGAGUGCAGAAGAGGAAAGUGGAAUUCCAUGUGUAG
RNAcentral lists this ribosomal RNA (574 nucleotides) under Staphylococcus xylosus. RNAcentral's name for it is "bacterial SSU rRNA". It matches the Rfam family "Bacterial small subunit ribosomal RNA", at positions 117 to 678 of the family's 1533-position model. Lineage: Bacteria; Bacillati; Bacillota; Bacilli; Caryophanales; Staphylococcaceae. The record is from RNAcentral.